GCUCCAGGAAAACGAGCAGCAGGCCAGAGAGUGUAGCGAGUGGUACCUCUUACUCUUACACAGGACAACCUCCUAAGAGUCGCCAACUAGAGUCACAGGAGGAAUGGCAAACACACAUCGUUAGACAACAGCUAGCUGAGGUCGCCGUGUCCGAAACCCUCGCCCUGGAUUCGCCCGUCAGCAACAGCAACUGGAUGCUGAGGAAAC
This is a long non-coding RNA of Priapulus caudatus, 207 nucleotides long. RefSeq lists it as uncharacterized. The transcript has 3 exons. NCBI's taxonomy places the organism in Eukaryota, Metazoa, Priapulida, Priapulimorpha, Priapulimorphida, Priapulidae. The record is from RefSeq and is a predicted model, not a curated record.